This 494-nucleotide ribosomal RNA is filed under the name uncultured bacterium. RNAcentral's name for it is "partial 16S ribosomal RNA". It matches the Rfam family "Bacterial small subunit ribosomal RNA", at positions 28 to 507 of the family's 1533-position model. The record is from RNAcentral.
GACGAACGCUGGCGGCGUGCUUAACACAUGCAAGUCGAACGGUGAAGCGCCUUCCUUCUUGGUGGGUGUGGAUGAGUGGCGAACGGGUGAGUAACACGUGAGUAACCUGCCCCCUUCUUCUGGAUAACCGCAUGAAAGUGUGGCUAAUACGGGAUAUUCUGGGUCUGUCGCAUGAUGGGUCUGGGAAAGAUAUUGUUUCGGUGGGGGAUGGGCUCGCGGCCUAUCAGCUUGUUGGUGGGGUGAUGGCCUACCAAGGCGGUGACGGGUAGCCGGCCUGAGAGGGUAGACGGUCCCACUGGGACUGAGACACGGCCCAGACUCCUAGGAGGGGCAGCGGUGUGGAAUAUUGCACAAGGGGCGGAAGCCUGAUGCAGCGACGCCGCGAGAGGGAUGGAGGCCUUCGGGUUGUGAACCUCUUUCGCCAGUGAAGCAGGCCUGCCUCGUUUGUGGGUGGGUUGACGGUAGCUGGAUAAGAAGCGCCGGCUAACUACGUG